AUGGCCGUGGAGACCAACGACAGUUUGACCAUAGUGGAGUAUUCUGCCACAGCAGGCAUAGAGUUCAUUGAGCUUCUUGGAUGUGUAGGUUCAUAUCUUUCAUUAAAUUUGGAAUAUAUCCCUUUUUUCUUCUUUCCGGCGUUCAAGAUAUCAAAGUGAGGACGUGCUGGGUCCUCUGAUGCAAAAUUCCAGAUUUCUCUGUGUCUUCCGGUAGCAGCUGUGAUCAAUUGUGCUGACAACACAGGAGCCAAAAACCCGUAUAUCAUCUCCGUGAAAGGGUAUCAAAGGACUGCUGCUGGUGUGGGUGACAUGGUGAUGGUCACAGUCAAGAAAAGCAAACCAGAGCUCAGAAAAAAGGUACAUCCAGCAGUGGUCAUUUGACAAUGAAAGUCAUAUCAUAGAAAAGAUGGCAUGUUUCUUUAUUUCGAAGAUAAUACAGGGGUCAUAGUGAGCAAUAAAGGCAAGAUGAAAGGUUCUGCCAUAACAGGACCAGUAGCAAAGGAGUGUGUAGACUUGUGGCCCCGGAUUGCAUCCAAUGCUUGCAGCAUUGCAUGAUUCUCCAGUAUAUUUGUAAAAAAUAAAAAAAAAACUUUAAACCCAUUAAAAAGUAUUUGUUUGCAAAAAAAAAAAAAAAA
Macaca mulatta (Rhesus monkey) is the source of this 635-nucleotide non-coding RNA. The record is from RefSeq and is a predicted model, not a curated record. NCBI's taxonomy places the organism in Eukaryota, Metazoa, Chordata, Mammalia, Primates, Cercopithecidae.